Molecule: ribosomal RNA, 502 nt
Filed under: uncultured bacterium
Lineage: Bacteria
Description: partial 16S ribosomal RNA
Rfam family: Bacterial small subunit ribosomal RNA
Source: RNAcentral
GACGAACGCUGGCGGCGUGCUUAACACAUGCAAGUCGAACGGUGAAGGGGCCUGCUUUUGUGGGCCCUGGAUGAGUGGCGAACGGGUGAGUAACACGUGAGUAACCUGCCCCCUUCUUCUGGAUAACCGCAUGAAAGUGUGGCUAAUACGGGAUAUUCUGGGUCUGUCGCAUGAUGGGUCUGGGAAAGAUUGCGCCUUUGGGUGUUUUUGGUGGGGGAUGGGCUCGCGGCCUAUCAGCUUGUUGGUGGGGUGAUGGCCUACCAAGGCGGUGACGGGUAGCCGGGCUGGUAGGGGGGACGGUUGCACUGGGACUGAGGCCCGGCCCAGACUCGUACGGGAGGGAGCGGUGGGGAAUAUUGCGCAAGGGGCGCAAGCGUGAUGCAGCGACGCCGCGUGAGGGAUGGAGGCCUUCGGGUUGUAAACCUCUUUCGCCAGUGAAGCAGGCCUGCUACUUGUGGGUGGGUUGACGGUAGCUGGAUAAGAAGCGCCGGCUAACUACGUG